This 72-nucleotide transfer RNA is filed under the name Ictidomys tridecemlineatus (thirteen-lined ground squirrel). RNAcentral's name for it is "Spermophilus tridecemlineatus (thirteen-lined ground squirrel) tRNA". It matches the Rfam family "tRNA". From Rfam's summary of the family: Transfer RNA (tRNA) molecules are approximately 80 nucleotides in length. Their secondary structure includes four short double-helical elements and three loops (D, anti-codon, and T loops). Further hydrogen bonds mediate the characteristic L-shaped molecular structure. tRNAs have two regions of fundamental functional importance: the anti-codon, which is responsible for specific mRNA codon recognition, and the 3' end, to which the tRNAs corresponding amino acid is attached (by aminoacyl-tRNA synthetases). tRNAs cope with the degeneracy of the genetic code in two manners: having more than one tRNA (with a specific anti-codon) for a particular amino acid; and 'wobble' base-pairing, i.e. permitting non-standard base-pairing at the 3rd anti-codon position. The record is from Rfam by way of RNAcentral. Lineage: Eukaryota; Metazoa; Chordata; Mammalia; Rodentia; Sciuridae.
UGUGUUGUAGCUCAGUGGUAGAGCACUUGUUUAGCAUGGGUCAGACACUGGGUUUAAUCCUCAGCACCACAU